GACGAACGCUGGCGGCGUGCUUAACACAUGCAAGUCGAACGGUGAAGCGCCUUCCUUUUUGGUGGGUGUGGAUGAGUGGCGAACGUGUGAGUAACACGUGAGUAACCUGCCCCCUUCUUCUGGAUAACCGCAUGAAAGUGUGGCUAAUACGGGAUAUUCUGGGUCUUUCGCAUGAUGAGUCUGGGAAAGAUAUUGUUUCGGUGGGGGAUGGGCUCGCGGCCUAUCAGCUUGUUGGUGGGGUGAUGGCCUACCAAGGCGGUGACGGGUAGCCGGCCUGAGAGGGUGGACGGUCACACUGGGACGGAGAAACGGCACAGACUGAUAGGGGAGCCAGCAGUGGGGAAUAGUGCAGAAGGAGCGCAAGACUGAUGCAGCGACGCCGAGUGAGGGAGGGAGGACGUCGGGUUGUGAACGACGUUCGCCAGUGAAGCAGGCAUGCUUCGUUUGUGGGUGGGUUGACGGUAGCUGGAUAAGAAGCGCCGGCUAACUACGUG
Molecule: ribosomal RNA, 494 nt
Filed under: uncultured bacterium
Lineage: Bacteria
Description: partial 16S ribosomal RNA
Rfam family: Bacterial small subunit ribosomal RNA
Source: RNAcentral